This 2028-nucleotide long non-coding RNA is filed under the name Nicotiana tabacum (common tobacco). Its description in RNAcentral is "long non-coding RNA (NTAB_LNC002775)". Lineage: Eukaryota; Viridiplantae; Streptophyta; Magnoliopsida; Solanales; Solanaceae. The record is from RNAcentral.
CACCAAGAAGGUAUGUCUUUGUAUUUCCUCAUAAGUCUUGUGUGAAUAUCCUCCUUUCCCUUGUAUGAAGCGCGGAAUCUUUCAUAGAUUUCCCUACAAAUUGCAAGUAGACAAUAAAGACAAUCCUUUACCACGACUGUUGUAGUUAUUAACAAAUAAUUCUCAUCCAUAUUCAUAGUUCCAUUUAUUUAUGGAAGUUGCUGCUAAACAGCUGUAAAUAUGUAGCAGUUGAGAUGUCAAAAGUUUGGACAAGUUUAAAAUAGACUGACAAAUCAACUUUUGGGACGAUAAAACAUGUAUAUUUCAUUUAAAAAAUUACUUGUAUAUUUUAAUUUCCUUGUCUGGGCUCUAGGUUGUAAAACAUAAGGAGCAAAUUUGACAAAACAGUAGUACUGUGUCUUGAUAUAGUUAGAGUGUGUUUUACCUUCCGUAGAACAAUGCCACGUGUGUAAGAGUGGAUGCUAUAGUAGCAAAACCAAAACCGUAAGUGAGAGCAAAGAACAUGCUUAUAUGUAUCCGCCCUUGCUCCUCAUACUUCCCUAUAUCUAGCUCAAACUUGUCAUUCACGAUGGCUGAUAUAUCGUACUUCUGACCUUGUGCUGUGAAUAAGUGUGACGAGAAAAUGGGAAAUUUUUUAGCACCAUACAAGUCAAACCCCCAAUAUGCUAUUGGGAUCACCAUGUAUAUUAUCAACAUGUACCCUGCAAAGACAUUGACAAUGGCAAAGAAAGGGCAGAUGAGGGGACUGAACAAGAAGGAUGCCACAGCAGACCAAUCCAGGGUUAUAGCUCCAAGUCCAAGGCCCCUCAUGCCUGAUCCAAUUUGCUGAGCUGUCACUGAUUUGGAGAAUGCCCAGCAGAUCCAUGAGAUGCUCGUGAGCGUUGAGAAGAGAUAUCCUGGUACUAGAUACCAGCAAAAGCUGCAUACUAAUGCAAUGAGGAAAAAUUUUGCUCGUGACAUGCGCCGAUCAUCUUUCUCAUGCAAGGCCCUGCAAAGAUCAAUCUGUGUUAAUGAUUUUCUGCACCUUUGAUCCGUUUGAGAAAGAAAAGCAGUUCAGUUGUUUUAUAUGAGAGUGCACCUGGAGAAGCUUUUAAACCAUCAGAUAGCUUGAAAUGAACGAGAAAAUUUGAAAUAGUAACAGAAAACUUAUAAUGAAGAUUCAUAUAGCCGACCUUAACUUGCUUGUGAUUGAGGUGACGUUGUUGUUGUUGAAUAGAAACUUACAAAAUGAUUUUGGGAAAUUUAAAAUAAAAAUUGGAUUUGUGAUUCGUCUGGUCAGAAAUUCCUGCGAAGAGGGUGCAGGGAAGAGAGAUACUAGACAUUCUUUUCCAGCUAUUGUCACGAUAAGCAGUAGAUAGAAACUAAGUUACAUGCAUGUGCGAGUACGUUAUCACAAGAAAAAAAAAAAUUACAGCCAGGUGGGAGAUUCUUAUAGCUUUAACUGUAUAUAAGUAUGACUACAAUAAUCCAUCCUACAAAAAGAAAGGCUGUGUUCUUGUUUCUAAUUGCAUGAUAUUUAUCAAGAAGAUGAAUUUGUGAAACUUGCAGAUGUUUGACUUGUUUUUAUGAUUCAGGUAGGAUUUUAAAAUGGAUUAUUGAGGUCAUUGCUAAAUAUGUGCUAUACCAUUCAAGGGAAUCAAUGUGGUUAUUUCUCCCGGUACUUUGCUCCAAUCAUGCAAAAUAAUGGAGUUAGACUAGAGCUAAAUUGGACUGUCUUUUUCUGAUCCCAGAAUGACUUGAAUUUGGGAGCCUAUUUUAAUCUUCUAAUACAGCUUAGAGAUGUCAGCAGGUGAACCAUCUUGGUUAUCGAUUGGCGCUCAACAGUGAAGGUAAAGGGAUGGCUUCAGAUUUCGUCCGAAGUUCCUUUCCACUAUUGAAAUAUUAUCAUGCAAAAUUUUCAGUAUGCAUAGGUUUGUAAAUCUAACACAUUGUGAAAAAGUUUAAUUCUACUAACAGCAAACUGUGAGUACUAUGAAAAUAUUCAAUGUACAAAUGUAAAAUUCUCUCUUUAACAUGCGCCACCCCAUU